This 2551-nucleotide long non-coding RNA is filed under the name Pan troglodytes (chimpanzee). RNAcentral describes it as "long non-coding RNA NONPTRT012615". Lineage: Eukaryota; Metazoa; Chordata; Mammalia; Primates; Hominidae. The record is from RNAcentral.
GGGCGCCCGGGGAGCAGGCUGGCAGAGUGACCGGGAUUGAUGAGCGGCGCAGCUCUGGAGGGACGCGGGCGAGAGGGUCGCUCCUCGGGGAGAGGGCUGGGUGAGUGAGGACCUGCGAGCCACCCCCGACACCCCUUCCAGGGUAGCCACACUGGCGCCCCCUUCUCCACCUAGAGAAGAUGUGAUGCCACUGGACAGGGAAGGAAAGUCGUCGUGGACUUCGCUGAGUGGAAAAGGGGGUAGUUGGGGAAGGUGGAGAAAAGAGCCACGGGAAGUGGGAGGAAAGGAUGAAGGGAUGGGACGUUGCAAAGGAAAGCUUCCUGAAUCCCUGUGUGACUCUAACCCAACCUCCCCACCUACCGGAGAAAUGGGUUUUAUCCUAGAAAUGGGGACGAGGAAAAAGAGAUGGCUCAAGGGAGUCCUGGCCCGGGAUGCGAUCCUCGCCCUAGGGUCUAUUGCAACCACACAAACCCGGACAGCGCACGCUCCCCGCUACCCCGACAGAAUAGUGCCUAAGAAACCUGCUUGCCUCCUAACUCUAGGAAGGAAUCCACAACGGAUUCCAGGGAGGUCUUCUGGGGAAUCUGAAUUGGGUUUUUGGAUCACGAACCAUUAAGCUUUUGAACUCUGGGGAAGAAUAGAACAGGUGGCUGGAAAUUGUUUUAGAACCCUACCUGAGCAGGUGUGCUCAUUAGUUGCUUAUCCGCCCUCCUCCUGGAGCACUUUCAUAGGUGUUGGCAAAGCAGGUACCAAUAUUUCACGGAAGGAGAAGGAAGAACCGCCCAGGACUGUGUAUAAAUGUCUAUGGGAAUAUUUUUAAGGAUUCAAAAGACUAGAAGGAGGUGAGAUCAAAAAAUUUUUCCAGCACCACCCAGUGCAACCCGAUCCUGGACACAGAAAUCUAAAAGAUGAUAUUUAAAUACUUGAGUUUGAGAGCCUCUAGUUAUAAGGUUUCCUACGUAACAACCUCUCACUUUUCUCAAAAACUGGCUAGUUGACAACCAGCAGUCAAGUUUUGGCUAGUCAAGAAGCUACUGUUGCCUGCAAUAAACCACAUUUAGAGAUAGUCCUGGGCUUCAGCAGGAUUGAGGCUAUAUUGAGGUCACAAGUAUGAACGAGGUACCCACAGAGAUGGGAGGGCCAGGAGAUCCUACUCAUUCGGUACCUCAGAAGCUAUGACACGGGAUAACAGUGGCUUCAGCCCUUUGGAUGAAAUAAUCCUCACUCCUUCAAAAGUGCUCUCCACCCACUCAAAACACAGGCCAUACUACCACCAAUCUGGUAGGCUUCAAAAGUAAGGUCUUUCAGCAGCAGAUUUCCUUGUUAACAGGAAGGCACUGACAAGCUUUACCUAAGCCUAUUGGAGCUAUGUUGUAAUUCUGUAUAUAAAUAGAACAGUCGCUGCAGGAAUACCGGAUGAGUCAGAAGAAAGGUCUGUCCUAAGCUGAUGUGACACAUUUCAAAAGGACCAGAAAUUAGAUGCAAUUGAUGACUGAGUUGAUCUCUAAGUGGAUUUAUCUUUGAAAUAAAAAUCAGUGGAUAUCCCAUAUACCCCACCCCACACCCUCCCCCAUUGUCAACAUCCCCAACCAAAGUAGCACAUUUGCUACAAAUAGUGAACCUACAUUGACAGAUCAUUAUCACCCAAAGUCCGUAGUUUACAUUAGGGUUCACUCUUGGGGCUGUAUAUUCUAUAGGGGUGGACAAAUAUAGAAUAACAUGAACCCACCCUCAUAGUAUCAUAGUAUCAUACAGAGUAUUUUCACUGCACUAAAAGUCAUCUGUACACCACCUAUUUAUCCCUUCCUCCCCCCAGUCUCUGGCAACCACUGAAGUUUUACUGUAUCCCUGUCUCCUUAGUUUUGCCUUUUCCGGAAUGCCAUAUAUAAGGAAUCAUACAGUAUGCAGUCUUUCUUUCAAUUUUGCUGUGAAACUAAAACUGCUAAGAAAAUAAAGUCUUGAAAAAUCAAUGGAGAAGGGAAAGCCGCCCUGCUGGUUGCCUCCACACCCCUCCUGCCGCCUUCCUCUCAGAACCCUAGCAGCUGUGUUCAGCGUCCCCCUCUUAAAGCAGCCACAUGCUCUGGGAAGACUGGCCCUCUGGGUCACAUCUGGCAGUCCCAUUCCUCUUGCUAAUGUGUGGUUCAGGAAUGGGCAGGUGGCCCAAUUCUGGUCAACAAGCCAUGAGAAGAAUCUGCUAGAGGUUUCCUUGCAUCUAAGAAAUGGUCUCUUUCGCCCUUGGACUUGGUUGGGUUUGGAUGUGAUGCCUGGAUCCUCUACAGCCUGAUGACAAAGACCACACCAAGGAUGGCAGAGUGGAAGGAUAAAAAGAACCAGGGCCUUCCAGCCUUUGUUGUAUGGCUGACUUAACCAACCUUGAAGGUCGCCUUACUCACGACUUCCUGUCAGAUGAGACAAAUUUCUUGGUUAAGAUACUUUGAUAGGGGUUUUCCGUUUCAUACAACUGAAAGUAUCCUGACUUAAACACCUUUUGAGGUUCUGCCCCAAGCCUUUAUUGAUUUUCUCCUCUUGAAUCACCACCAGCAUUUCUGCA